Molecule: ribosomal RNA, 1058 nt
Filed under: uncultured bacterium
Lineage: Bacteria
Description: bacterial SSU rRNA
Rfam family: Bacterial small subunit ribosomal RNA
Source: RNAcentral
AGAGUUUGAUCCUGGCUCAGAACGAACGCUGGCGGCGUGCUUAACACAUGCAAGUCGAGUGCGCGUGCCGUAGCAAUACGGUAUGGCGCACGGCGCACGGGUGCGUAACACGUGGGCAAUCUGCCCUCCGAUGGGGAAUAACUCCGGGAAACCGAAGCUAAUUCCGCAUAACAUUCCCUGGACUCCGGUUUGGGGAUUCAAAGCAGCAAUGCGUCGGAGGAGGAGCCCGCGCCCGAUUAGCUAGUUGGUGAGGUAACGGCUCACCAAGGCUUUGAUCGGUAGCUGGUCUGAGAGGAUGGCCAGCCACACUGGAACUGAGACACGGUCCAGACUCCUACGGGAGGCAGCAGUGGGGAAUCUUGCGCAAUGGGCGAAAGCCUGACGCAGCGACGCCGCGUGGGGGAUGAAGCUUCUCGGAGUGUAAACCCCUUUCGACUGGGACGAAUGCCUCGCAAGAGGAGUGACGGUACCAGUAGAAGAAGCCCCGGCUAACUACGUGCCAGCAGCCGCGGUAAGACGUAGGGGGCCAGCGUUGUUCGGAAUUACUGGGUGUAAAGGGUUCGUAGGCGGUGUGGCAAGUCGGGAGUGAAAUCUCUGGGCUUAACCCAGAGACUGCUUCCGAAACUGCUGUGCUGGAGUGUGGGAGAGGCGCGUGGAAUUGCAGGUGUAGCGGUGAAAUGCGUAGAUAUCUGCAGGAACACCCGUGGCGAAAGCGGCGCGCUGGACCACUACUGACGCUGAGGAACGAAAGCUAGGGGAGCAAACAGGAUUAGAUACCCUGGUAGUCCUAGCCCUAAACGAUCAGGACUUGGGGUGCCACCCGUUCGGGUGUCGUCCCGGAGCUAACGCGUUAAGUCCUGCACCUGGGGAGUACGGUCGCAAGACUGAAACUCAAAGGAAUUGACGGGGGCCCGCACAAGCGGUGGAACAUGUGGUUCAAUUCGACGCUACGCGAGGAACCUUACCUGGGCUCGAAAUGCUUCUGACCAGCUGUAGAAAUACGGCCUUCCCGCAAGGGACAGGAGUAUAGGCGCUGCAUGGCUGUCGUCAGCUUCGUG